Rhincodon typus (whale shark) is the source of this 2067-nucleotide long non-coding RNA. RefSeq lists it as uncharacterized. Lineage: Eukaryota; Metazoa; Chordata; Chondrichthyes; Orectolobiformes; Rhincodontidae. The transcript is spliced from 2 exons. The record is from RefSeq and is a predicted model, not a curated record.
CGUGCAGUACCGCCUUGGGGUGAUAGUGAGCCACAGAAUGGAGCAAUUCUAUCUUUAAACAAGUCGUGUGAUUUGGCUUCUCAGUCAGAGCUAAAACUGAAGGCUGCCACAUGAUCACUUGGAAGGCUGUUUCUCCACGUUACUAUUGUCUCCAGAGAUGGUAAGGAGAGGAGGAAGAUGGAAAACUGGAGAAACAAGUGUUUGAAAAAUCAAUUUUAAAAAUGAUUGUCCUAAAGUAGUGUCCUGAGUGAACAGUUGUAUUUGGUAUCUAUUGUUAGAAGAACAUCUAUGAUGUGGAGGUGCCGGUGCUGGGGUGGACAAAGUCAAAAGUCACAUGACACCAGGUUAUAGUCCAACAGGUUUAAGUGGAUCGAUCACAAGCUUUCAGAGCGCAACCCAUUCGUCAGGUGCAGAGAGAGAGAGCACACACAGUCCGUUGGAAGAGUAUAUAUGUCUUCAUUCUUGUUAUCUUUUCCUCACUACUAAUAUCAGUAAGAAUCUUAAGUUACUUGCGUCAAACUGUCCUAUCUUCAACAAAUUAUGCUAUUUGCAUGAUUUAUUGAAGAUAAUUGUUAUUAGCGCGUAAAAACAUGCUGUCUAGCUUGAUGUUUAGACUUAAAGGAUAAUGAUAUAUUAACAUGAAAUAUACCUUUCCCAUUUCAUCAUAGCAGUGUAGCAUUUGUAUGUCAGUGGAUUUGCUGUGGAAUUUGUCCAUCUAUUGAAAUUCAAUGAAAAUAGUCUUUACAGUGACAGAGCUAGUAUUCUGUGCAUCACGGCUUCAGUAACAAAAGCCCCACAAUGGCUAGCUGCCAAUGUUUAGAUAUCACAUGCUGGUACUCAAUGCCAUAUUCAUUAGAACAGUCUUAGCAGCCCUUUUUGUUAAAAAUAAAUGUGUUCACAAGCACUGUUGAAAGGCUGGGGCGGGUGGAGAUUUUCAACUAAAUAAUUCUAACAGAUAAUUUGCAGAAUUGCAUCAGCCUGUGGCUCAGGAGAUUAAAUGAUGGUUAAAUUUGUCAAUUAAUUUUAUUCAAGAAAAAAGAUUGAGGUAGUCAAAGGGAUUGACAGAAGUGGAUUUCAUGUGAACUGAACUGAGAAUAAAGAAAAAGUUGAAAAGCUUUCAGCCUAUUUUAACUCUUUUUAUGAAUAUAUACUACACUUGCGAUCAAGUGCUGAAGCUAUAUCUACUAAACAUAAGAAUAUAACAAACAGGACCAGACCUUACAACUAUUUUGCAAUCAAUUAAGAUCUUCCACUUCAAGAAAAAAUACAUGAUGUAACUAUUAUAUGCAUUGUAAUAUAUUACUAUUAAACUUUUGUACAAUGGAUCUUCUACCUCUGUCAAAUAGUUAAGAAUAGUUUAAUUAAAAUGGUGUAUGUAAAUAUGUAAUGAAGAUUUAUAAAUACAUUGUUAUUUGGAGACUAUGAUUCUAAAGUAGAAGUAAGUUUUUAUUUUAGUUCUGUGGAGGUAGCUUUAAAGGUAAGAAACCCCUUUGUUAGUAGAGAGUCAAAACAGCAUUUCCACGAAAUCAUUUGACUUAAGCUAAAUGACUGAAUAAGCUACCUGGUGAGAUAAUCGCUGAAAGGUUUACUUAGUUGAGCUUUUGUGACCACGAAGAGCCCAGAGGCCAGCAGUGAGUGGACUUCAGAGAAAAGAUCCAUACAAAAAAAAUUGCAGCUUGGUUUCAACAGUCUCCAGGCUAUCAGAGGUCAUAAGGUAUUUCAGUAGUCCAAGUAGUCAGGGCUGGAAAACUCUCUAAGGUUUUCUUAGAGUUCAGUAAAAGAAAAGUCACUGACGUAGCCUGUGUCUAUGCCUCUCUAGGAGAGAGGAAGAGAAUCACAUCUGGUGAAUACGCAGUCACCAAAACGGAAAUGCAACCUCAACAACUGAGUAAAAGAAAUUAAAGUGAAGAUAGAAGUGAAACUUCAUUGGCAUUGAGUUUUUCUAAAGGAUAUUGCUGGGGAAAAGGGCUAGUUUUUUAUGUUUAUGAUAAGAUCUUUUCAAAGUGUCAUAUAUAUAAAUAUAGCUUUUUUAUCUUUUGUGUAAUAAACUUGCAUUCUUACAUUAAA